GUCGACGAGCACGAUCGCAACACCUAAACGCCUUGCGGUGAUAUGGAGUCGCCAACCACCUCGAUCUAGCCAAAGGGCCAAAUUAAGAUGGGUUUCGGAGAAAAACAACUAAGGCCCUCUUUGUUUAGGCUUAUAAGCCAACUUAUAAGUCGAAAAGUCUAAGCCAAAACAAACAAGCAGCUUUUUCAUUUGGCUUUUUUAAGCCAUAAGCCACUCUAACACUAUUAAGCCAAAAGCUAGGUUGGAGAAGCUUUUUUUGGCUUAUAUGAGAUAGAUGUAUGACUCUACCAUUAAACUUAGGACAUUAAAUCCACUGGCUUAUAAAUCAUAUAAGCCAAUAAGCUGACUUAAAAGUCUAGGCCAAUAAGCCUAAGCCUAAACAAAGAGGGCCUAAACCGGCUAGCGGAGCCGAUUUAGAGAUCAAAAUCAGCCUCUAGGCCGAUUUAGAUCGAUAUGAGGAUAACUACCCGUCUCGUGGGCAAAACGGAAGGUUUUCAGGACAAACCUACAAAGAGGUGUCGCACUCUCGCAGCGGCGGCGGACGGUUUACAGCGCAAACCGACAAAGAUGGACUAAACUAGGGUAAAAUAGAAAACAUAGUAAAAGAACGAUUCAAGUAAAUUGUAUUCGGGGGUUUUACAAUGAACCGGCGGCCUUGUCCCUUAAAUAGGGGGUUGGUCUUGCCCUCUACAGGCCCUUCUCCACGUCCAACUCGGGAUAGAAACUAAAGGAAACACGAAACAUGCCUUCCCGAGCAAGGAAACCUGAGACCCGACGAAAACAGACUCGGACUCGGACCCUGCCGGUCUGACCGCCUACAUACCUGCGGUCAGACCGGCCCUACUAGCCGGUCAGACCGCCCACACACCUGUAGUCUGACCGCCCUGUGAAGGAAACCUGUCACUUUCCAAACUUUGGCAAUCUUCCCCUAUUUCGUCCAUAGGUGCCAAAUUUGGGUGUAAACACAUGCCCCCCUGCCUUUUUGGUGAACAUACGUGAACCUAAAAGCAUAGAACAUGUUAUCUCAGGGCGAUAAUCCAAUUACUGGCCAUAGGACUUCCUAAGCAUCUUGCCAAAUGCUCGGGAAGCAUUUCUUCAAGUAUUUCCCAUUAAUUGAUAUCUGAAAACACCAUCUUGAAGUGUCUUCAUCUCCUUCAAAGUCUUCAAACGCUCGUCGAUGACAUCUUCAAAAAUUGCUUCCCAUCAAGGUCUUAUAAUCUUCAACCGACAAGUCGUCUUGCUUGAAAUACCGAAGAGAGCCAAGAUUUACCUCAACUGGCAAAACGGCAAUUUCAACAAUGUUUUAUUACUCGACUCGGCUUAUCCAUUAACCUGAGUGUAAGAACUCAACAACUUAAUAUCAUAAGAUUCGGCAAUACUUCUCACUUCCUUGGACAUAAAAGAAGCUCCUUUAACGUUUGAGGAAUACCGAAUCUAUGAACAAUAUGCUUCAAAAUAGAGUCAAUUACCUCCGUACAAGUAAUAUUCUCGAGCGGCACGGCUUCGGCCCACUUAGUAAGUAAUCCAUUGCAACUAGCACGAACCAAUGCUCUUUUGAUGACGAAGAAUAAAUUUGACCAAUGAAAUCCAAAGCCCAACCUCGGAACGGCCAUAGUUUAAUGAUAGGAUUCAACACAACGGUAGGCGCUAGUUGAACAUUGCCAAUCCGUUAACAAGCUUCACUCCCUCUAUAGCAUUUGAAACAAUCAUCAAUUAUUUUCGGCCAAUGAAACCCCACUCUCCUAAGCAACCAAUUUAUCUUACGGGCCGAUUGAUGAAUUUCACAAAUCCCUUCAUGUACUACUCUCCUAGCAACUUCAGAUUGAUCAUUAUCUAAGUAAUACUCCAUCUAUUUUUCGGUGAUAUAAUAUUUGAACGCUUGCCGCCGAAUCUUCCGAUCAACCUUAAGUGUAGGAUCUUUCAAAUAUCUAAUCAAAGGAAUUCUCCAAGCUAUUUCUAACUCAUGGGCACAAAUGUUCGAAUUCACAAUUAAUUUGGCCUUUUAAUCAAUUGUAACGUGCCCCCCAGCCUCCUGUCUGGGAUCGGUCAGACCGGCCACGCAAUGCCGGUCAGACCACCCUGUCUGCCCGGUCAGACCGGCUAUGCAGAGCCGGUCAGACCGCCGGUACCACCGGUCAGACCGGCCGUGCAAUGCCGGUCAGACCGCCCUUGGUCUAUGACUUUGCCAAUUUCGUCCAAACUUUUAAAAUCAAGCAUCGGCCUUUAGUAUAUAAUUUUUCUUCACAUAAUAGCCAGAUGCUUGGUGUAUCAAAUUAUUGGACCAAAAUUCCUCCUCUCUAGACAUAUGAAAAACUAUAACAUCCAACUAACAUGUCUAGAUGAAUACUAAUUCAAAUGGCUUUUGAAACAAUAAUCAUCAUGGCAUCAAAACACUUAGCCAAUUGAAUAAUGAAUCACCAAAGUCAUAUGCCUCACACACAUGAAUUCCAAUAAACUACAAAUGUAAGUAAUCGGCUUGAGCAUGUAUGCAAAAUAUUAAUAAUGCCAAUGUUUCUAAAGAAAACAACUCUAGAAUAAAUCAUCACAUUGACCAUUGACAUUAGCCGAAUUACUAAUAAGCAAAACUUUCAUGGUGCAAUAAUUAUAAAAUCUAUAUCUUAUAUGGUGAUCCAUAAAAACACAUACAAUUUGGCUUUAAAUAAAUAUCAAAGACUCGUGAACCAAAUCAUACUUAAAACAAAUUAUAUGCCAACCUACCAAUUCCACUACUUAGAACUGGCAUUUGCAACAUGUAUGUAUAAUAUCAAUUUGAUAAGCAAACAACACACAUGUGCUAGAUAGUAAGCAAUGUUCUAACAUGGCAUAGGCAUAUAAUAUAAUGUUAAACACAAAAAAACCCAUACCUUGCCUUAGCAUCCGACAAACGGCGGCUCAAAGAUGUGAUGUUGUAUCCAUCGCCGUUCAUCUCUCUUGAUUUCUUCAUAAGCAUAUUAAUGUCUUGCCCCCCGAGCAAAAUCGGCUUUCUUGAUUGCACGAUUUCAAAGGCAAGACGAACACCGCACCAACAUCCAUAGCAUCAUGUGAAGGAGACUUAUCUCUAAUGACCGAUGAUUCUUCUCUCAUCAUAUUGGAUUUAUCACUACUUUGGGAAAUCACCGAUCUCUUACCUUUUACUUCUUUAGGUCUCCACACUCGCUUAGGUGUCGUUCGAGGCUCUAAAUUAUUACAUGUUUUGUUCUCCACAUCUUCGGCCUCCUUUUCUUUUUGACCUAUGGCCCGAAGACGCUGAAGCCUCCUCUUUUGAGAGCGAGAUAAGCCGGAAGGUAUCCACUUCAGCUGUGGUUGUUUUCCAGGAGCCAAAUGAUGAUUCUUCAUAUUUUUGGUCGAAGUGGAAGCUCCUGUGUUGCUCUCAAUUUUCUCACUCUUCUCUAAUGCCCCCCGGUCAGACCGGCCUCUAGGCCCGGUCAGACCGGCUACAAACCGUCGAUCAGACCGGCCAGGAAGGUCGGUCAGACCGGCCGUUGUCUGGCGGUUAGACCGGCUAGCUGUUUUGGUCAAGCCGCCGAUGUUGACAGUAACGGCGUCGGCUUCAGUCUUCUCCGCUUGUAUAGUUUUCGGCGCAUCUCCAGUAGGUACAUGAACAUCUUAAGAUUCCUCAUUGAUAGCAACGACCUCCGGAGCUUUGGCUUCUUUCCUCACCCACACCUUCACCUUUUUCACCUUUGAUCCACCGGACCGAUUCUUUUGUGGGAAACGGUCUUGUCUUGAGUUAGAUGAAUGACUUGAUGUUGACCUAGGUGAUUCCUUCCACUCUUGGUAAUACGGCAUAGGUGGUUGAUGCAUCCAAGGCAUGUAAUACAUAAAAGGAUAACCAUAUAGUGACAUUGGAUAUGGAUACCAUGGCAUCACAACCGGAGGUUUGUAUGGAGUUGGUAUAGUUGAUGGCUCCGAUUGCUUUGGUAUUUGACCAAAUCUCUUCCUACAAGAUGAUCUUGGUCUUUUUGAAUCACUAGUUUGAUUAUCAAGUCGUUGACCGGCUAAUCCUUUAUUGUACUUAGCCAUAAGCAUCUCAAAAGUGAGCUUCGGCUUUUUGGUCCUUUGGAAACUAGAUGACUCAUCCUUUGCAUCUUUAUGAUCUUCGGCCUUCGCAUUUUUGAUCCUAUUCUUGGGCCGAGGAUCCCCAAUAAUAACACGUCUCCCUUUCUUUUUGUCAACAUCAAUAGGACUAACAGAGAGAGGAUCACUAACAACUCCGGUCUUAGGCAUAGAUGUAACCGAAAUAAUUUCACAAGUGACCGAUGAAUCAUCAACCGGUCUUUUCUCCAUCAAGUUUGCAUCUUUAAAAUAAUCAUGAAACUCAUGCUUCAUUUGUGACCAUGUAGAAAUUGAACUAGGAGCAAGCAAACUAUACCAUGUAGAUGCAAAGUUUGACAAAGAAAGAGAAAACAACUUUAACUUACGCAAAUCAUCGCUACCGGCCUUACCGCAUUGAUCAAUAAAGCGGUCGAUAUGCUCCAUUGUAGUCAUAGCAUUCUCACCUGUGAAUUUCGUGAAGUUGGGCACCUCAAAUCCUUGCGGGUAUGGAACUGAAUCUACAUGUUCAGGAUACGGCCUUUGAUAUAUAUGCAUGGCUACUUUGGAUUCUAUUUCACUACUAUCCCGCAAGACAUUGUCAUCAUCUUUUCCAACAUCUACAUGACCGAUUUGUGACUCGGUCUUAGGUGACAAUGCUAUUUCACUUUCGCUUGUAAUACAAUCCGAACCGUCAUUUAGUUCGGCUAUAUCUUCAAUGAUGCUAUUCUCUAAGCUAGCAAUACAAUCCGAACCACCACUUGGUUCGGCUAUUCCAUCGUUGUCUAAACUAGUAACACAAUCCGAACCAACACUUGGUUCAGCUAUAAUGGUUGUUGCAUUAUUUUCCAAGCUAGCAAGACAAUCUGAACCAACAUUUGGUUCGGCUAUAAUCGUUAUGGCAUCAUUGCACAAAUCAUUAACACAAUCCGAACCAUCGCUUGGUUCGGCUAUACAUGAUAUUGCAUUAUCAUCUAAACUAGCAUUUAAGCUAUUGUCAUCCACUCGGCUUUCCUGAGCCGGAGCUUCAUGCAACACAUGAUCAACAUCAAGAAAUAUCUGGCCAUUCAACCUCUCUUUAAUAGAAUCAAGCAAUCCAUCAUAUGCAAUGUCGGCCAAAUCUUUGUCAGUUAUUUUCAAGCUAUAACAUCGGUUUUUAACAUCUCUAAACCUUUCAAUAUAAUCAGCAACAGAUUCAUUGUAUUUGUGCCUAACCGAUGUUAAAUCAGACAACCUAAGCUCAGUCUCACUAGUGUGGAAAUAAUCAUGAAAUUUUUGUUCUAAUUGAGCCCAGGAAAAAAUAGAAUUUACCGGUAAAGAAGUAAACCAUGUAAAAGCAGUACCGGACAAAGAUAAAGAAAACAAGCGCAAUUUAAAAGUAUCACUAUUAGCCUCUCCACAUUGCGCUAAAAAUUGACCUACAUGCUCCCAUGUGGUCCUACUAUCCUCACCACUAAAUUUGGUAAAUUUGGGAACUCUAUAACCACGAGGAUAUGGCACAUUAUCAUAAUAAUUAGGAUACGGCUUUUGGUAAACCUUAGCACGAUUCCUAGUUUCAAUCCCAAAUUUAUCCCUAAUAAUCUCACUAAUUAUCUCCUCCAUAUUAUCAGGCCUAUGUUGAAUUGGUGGUGGAUUUGGUGGCCUAAUAGGUUGUGUUUGUGGCGCAAUAUGAUUAUAUUGGCCUUGCCUAGUAUCGUGAGAAUAUCCUCUAGCAACAUCAUUAUAAGUAUUAGGAACAUGCGGGGGAACUUGGGGAUUAGUUGUAGCAGUAGAUACAGGAGGAUCAAAUGUUCUAAGAUGAUACAAAUAACUAGCAUUAGUCAUUGGAUCUAUCCCCUGAAUCGGUAUGAUUGUGCCGGUCUGACCGGUCCAGGGCUCGGUUUGACCGACAUCCAGAGGCGCGGUCAGACCGGCCUGAGUCCCGGUCUGACUGCCGGGGUAAUAUCCAGUCGGACCGGCCGUUUGGCCGGUCGGACCGACGGUGAAAUCGCGGUCUGACCGGCCAUCAGGUUCGGUCGGACCGGCUAUAUGCGCUGCUCCAUCGGUUCCACUACUUGUUUGAUCUAUAGGAGCUUGACUAGCAGUGGUAGAGGCUUUAUUUUUAAACAUGUAAUCGGCCAUAAGAGGGCCGAAUUUAAAUCUUAAAAACUCAUCAAAUUUACCCUCAAAAGUUGCAUCUAACUUAUCUUUAAAAACAGUCAUGGAUGAAUCUAUUGUAGAUGCUACUUCUUGUUGGAUAGAUUGUGUUACCUUCGGUGAAACUGCAACUUGAGGUAGCGGCACGUUUCCUUUCAUGACGUCUUGAUCGGUCUUGAUGUAUUGUGUAGCAAUAUUGUUGAACCGUUCCCGCUCGUCAUAGUUAAUGAAGAAAUUCCUUGAUUAAAUCCGGCCAUAUAGCUCAUAGCCGAAAUAUUUGACCGAAUAAAUUAAUACACGGUCUUGGAAUUUUUUCUCUCGCGAUGAGCAAUGUGUGCACUAAUUAAUUCCACCAAAAUCAACAGAUAAACUUUGCUUUGUCUCUCUGUAGAUCGGCUCUGGUAUAGCCUGAUCUUUUUGAUCUAUGCACGUAUACAGUAAUAAAAGGAAACAAUGCUCCUGCUGCUUGUCUCUCGGCAGAUCGGCUCUAGUAGCCUGAUCUUUUCCUCUGUUGCCAUGUGAAACAAAAGGAAAGGAGGUUGCCGAGUCAGCUACUGCUCCCUGAUGAUGAUCUUCAGUACACACGGCAAGUGUUCAGAUGGAUUCGGUGACGACCAAAUAACCUCGCCGCCGAUUAGAUUAAUCCGGCGAUACUAGAUUAAUUUCGGCCGUUUAGCCGAAACUUGGAUUUGACGAAACGGUAGCUACUAGAUUAAACGAAAUUCGGCCGUGAUAUGGCCGAUUAGAUCGUUCCCCAGUGGAGUCGCCAAAAAUCGUGUUGGCAACUUUUUUGACAAGUCGACAAGCACGAUCGCAACACCUAAACGCCUUGCGGUGAUAUGGAGUCGCCAACCACCUCGAUCUAGCCAAAGGCCAAAUUAAGAUGGGUUUCGGAGAAAAACAACUAAACCGGCUAGCGGAGCCGAUUUAGAGAUCAAAAUCAGCCUCUAGGCCGAUUUAGAUCGAUAUGAGGAUAACUACCCGUCUCGUGGGCAAAACGGAAGGUUUUCAGGACAAACCUACAAAGAGGUGUCGCACUCUCGCAGCGGCGGCGGACGGUUUACAGCGCAAACCGACAAAGAUGGACUAAACUAGGGUAAAAUAGAAAACAUAGUAAAAGAACGAUUCAAGUAAGUUGUAUUCGGGGGUUUUACAAUGAACCGGCGGCCUUGUCCCUUAAAUAGGGGGUUGGUCUUGCCCUCUACAGGCCCUUCUCCACGUCCAACUCAGGAUAGAAACUAAAGGAAACAUGAAACAUGCCUUCCCGAGCAAGGAAACCCGAGACCCGACGAAAACAGACUUGGACUCGGACCCUGCCUGUCAGACCGCCCAUAUACCUGCGGUCAGACCGGUCCUACUAGCUGGUCAGACCGCCCAC
Molecule: long non-coding RNA, 7546 nt
Filed under: Oryza sativa (Asian cultivated rice)
Lineage: Eukaryota; Viridiplantae; Streptophyta; Magnoliopsida; Poales; Poaceae
Description: long non-coding RNA (OSAT_LNC001376)
Source: RNAcentral